AAAGAGAAGUUAAACAUACGACAUGAACUGAAUUAACUAGUGCGCAUGACUAGUUAAAAACAAAGUUCCUUUGACAAUAAAUUUCUAAUUAAAUCAUGGCUGCACCUCGGCAGCGCUAUUGUGAGAGUGAAAGUGGACGUGCUGCUACUCCCCUCAUUCCUAACAUGUAUCAAGUACCUGCAUUGAGUAAUGCAAGAGUGAGAUGACACAUCUCAGCAAGUAAAAUAAUAUCAAACUGUUUAACCACAUAAGAACAUUGUUUUACCACCACUUGAUUCCACAACCUUCUUAUUACGAAGGUGCAGCACGUAUACAACGUACAACACACCUAGUCACCACACCUCGCAGGUAGAAACCACAAUAGUAACAUAGUAAUGUCACACUUCAUAUAUAUAUACCUCAUGAGUGCAAAUGUCUGCAAAUGCAAGGAUGACUUCUGCCUUCAUACCUCUAAGGAUAUGAAGCCGCAUCGUACCCCUCCUCGAGCAACGUACGAUGCUAAAAAUGUACGGGUACGGUCGAACCAUAAGAUCAUGACAUAACUUUAAAAUGCAAGAUGGAUGAUGCGAUGUGCAUGUCAUGCCUACAACACUUCAUAUAACGUGAUUCAAAAAGAUACUUCAACUUUAUCCAAGAUGGGAAUCAACCACAUAUAUCAUUAACAAAUUAUGAUCAUCCACAAUAUUAGACAAUUGAGAAUUAAUACUUCCAAACAAAUAAACUUCAUCAUAGAAUUCAAUGAUUAACAUAAUUAAAACUUAUGCAUACUCAAUGACAGGGAAUAGGAUGCAAACCAAACGGUAGCAACCACCACUGUAUUUACUUGCCUUUACCGGAAGUUCGGGCAAAUCCCUAAGUACGAUCCGGAAGUCCACCACCUGUUUUUGACACACAACUUAGUGCACCAAUUUCACAUAAUCAGGCUCAUAAGCGACGCUGCACCUACGCACAAACUCAAACCCCGCCGCGGGUUACAUCUCUCCCCACACCCACCAAACUGCAGCGGGGCUGCUUAAUAUUUUCAUAACUUUAAAAUUAUGACAGCAGUGGUAACAAACAAAAACUCCAGAGGCAUCUACAUAAAAUUCCCCACAAGUUUUGUACACAAUUUAUAAUUAAAUUCCAACAUCUAAUUAGCCCAAAACAGUCCACAAGAUGAACCCUGUAAUCUGUUUUUUGUCUUUUGGACAGCGACAUACCCGGAUUCAAACAGCGAUAUCUUUUAAAAUAUAAUUCCAAAUCAAGCGUAUAAGUACUCAUUGGAAAGAUAAGACAAAGCCCUACAUUAUUAUCAUACUGGUUAACACUAAUUACCCACGAAAAAUGCCCAGAAACUGCUAAUACUACUUUUGUUCACCCACCUGAAAAUCUGUUUUUUUGGACAGCAACAUAACCGGAUUCAAACAACGAUAUCUCCUAAAUUAUAACUCCGAAUCGAGCGCAUAAGUACCCGUUGGAAAGUUAUGACAAAGCUCUACAUGAUUCACCCACUGAUCCCCACUAAUUACCCACGAAAAAUUCCCAGAAAUCCCUAGAACUACUGCUGUUCGCCACCCACAAAAUUUCAGGACAGCACCUCUACCGAUUCGGAUAGGUAAACAUAUAAUCAAUUGGAUUACAACACAAUUAAACAAGAUACAAUCUCAAAAUCACCUUGAAUCCUCCCCCUUUCCUCCCUUCUUCUUCCCUCCACCAAAAUCCAAUUGGAGACAUGCACCAACGCGACGUAGAUCCGAGCGAGAAAGGAAUGGCACCUUGGAGAGAAGGGCUUGAGGAGGGGGCGGCUAGGGUUUGAUGGGGGAGGUGGGGUGGCGGCUGCAAAUGGGUGUAGGAGUGAGAGGGGCGUCCUCCAAACCUAGAGAGAGGGGGGCGGCUGCACAAGAGAAAGGGGAGGGGGAUGGCUGAAAAAAAUCCCAAGGGAUUAAGGGAGGGGCGGCUAGGGUUAGGGGAACUAGUGGGCCGGAUCAAGAACCAUGGCCCAACUCGUUCACACGUCAACCCCCGACCCCCCCUAGCACAUGAGUCUAACCAAAAUUCUACUAUUUUACUGGUGAAUGCUUCCCCAAAAAUUCCCAACCCCAAAAGCGUACCACCCAAAAGAAAGAAGGAAAAAAGAAACAAGGAAAGAAUGAACUCCAACUUCUCUUCUUUGCAAACUGGGUAUCACACUCUACCCCCCUUGAAAAGAAUUCGACCUCGAAUUCUGACGCUUCUAUCAGAACGACAAAAGGAAAGAUCAGCGACGACAAAAACUCACCCCAUAACGAAAAGUUCGGGGUACUUCUGCCGCAUCAGCUCCUCGAGCUCCAAGGAUUCUAGGAUACGCAGCAGACGACACUCUAGAGUCAGGUCUUGCUACAUGGGAAUCGACUCUAGCUCGAUUUAUUGAUCUGGAUUCUGCAAAUACUUUCUCAACAUAGAGACAUGGAAUACAUGGAGUACACUGAUCAUAGACUCCGACAAUUGCAUGUGCUAAGCCAAGCUGCCAACUCGGGCUAAGAUAGUAGACGGUCCUAUAUACCUCGGACAAAGCUUUCCUGACACCAAAUCAACCUUGACACAUGCAAGUACUUCAAUGAAUAUAUAUAUUAAUGCAAUACAUACGGUGCUCCUAUAGCCUAAACCAAACCUAUUCAAACAAGAGUAACUUCAAAAGACCAAUUUAAUGCUUGCAUAUUUCUAGACAGCAGCACAACAGUUAAUUGUUUUGCUCAUAACUCACAAAAUAUGCAUCCAAAAGUAGUAAACUAAGACUUUAUGGAAAGCUUACAAAGUCCACUAUACCCUUGGUAUUAUCAUCACCACAAGAUUUGACACUUAGAAAGGCCAAACAAUGCAAAACGUAAAUUUUGUCCAGACUUGGACAGAAUUCAACUACUCACUUCAAAAAUCCAUAAUUGGAGUCUCAGUCAUCCAAUUGAGGCGCUCCUAGACUUUUUAGGAAGCUAGUAAAAUUGUCUAUAUUUCAUUUAUAAACAUAUUAGGUUAAUUCAAUGCAUAUCAAGAUCAAAAGACAUAAGAAAGGCUUUGCUGUCCAAAUUUGGAUAGAUUCAAAGAUUCCACUUAAAACAGUUGUAGCUUAACUUAUAGGUCACCAAAAAGGGUGAUCCAAAAUUUGUUGGAAAGCUUAAGGAAAGUACUACCACUUCUUUAUAAUUUAUAAGAACUGAUUCGAAGUUUAACUUAGACAAACAAGGUCAGUUUCGAAAUCUGUACAGAAUCUGGACAGAUUCCAAGACUAGACUUGAGAAAAUCAUAACUCCCAAGCUUCUAGACCUAUGGUCAUGAAAUGUUUACACAAGUAAGAUGAAGAAGUUUGCUACAACUUUUAUAUACAACACCUCUACAGAAAACAUGGUUUAAUUCAUUGAACUAGCUGCAUAACCAAAACUGGUCAUACAGUCCCAAACAACAAGCAAUAGAUUUAUUCAGGUUCUAUACUCUUCUAAGAUUAAGCGUUCAUCGAAGGACUAAUAACUUUAGGUUCUUCAUAACGAGACACUUAGAUCCAACAUAAGGAUAGAAGCAAUAUGCUAACUUUUUAAAUCAUUUUAAGCCUGAUCUCACAUCAUGCAAGCAAGAAUCGAUUUAACCAUACUAUGCCUGCCCAUAUAUCCAUCCAAGCACAUUCUAUACAUUAUAUCAUCCCAUCGAAGAACUCUCUUUUUUUAUUAUGCUAUGCAUAUAUAUCCAUCCAAUAACUCACACAAUCUCCAUCUCAACCUAGACUUCACACGACGUAACUAUUUCAUACUUACUCAAUCACGCCAAGACCAGAAAACAUGGCUUCACAACAAUACGUACUGGCCUAUUCAAAUGUCCCUCGCUAUCUCUGUGUUUCAGCCCACGCUCCGCAUAUACAUAAACAAGAUAACUAUCACAACCACUACGUCUAUUCCCUCCCACCAUACAGCGUAAUUAACAUGGAUUACGAAAGAGCUCACUAUAACCCAAACUUCCAUGGAAAUAUCCCUAAAUAGAAAAUUGACAAUCAACAACACAAAUGUUCAUUCUGUUUCUACCUCUUUCACUAUAAAAGCAAUCAUAACAAAGAAAUAUUGUAAAAUCAUCUAAACUUCAUGAUCUACAACUUUCGUAUUCAAAGGAUAAACAAGGUUUUAUUUUAUCUCCCAUUUUUAAUUUGACUUGUAAGGCGACAUACAAGAUCUGCCACCAGAACCUGACGGAGCAUGACCCAUAAAUUCAAAACCUCAUAACUCUCUGCAUCUAACAAAAUUUUGCAAAUAUAAACUCAUUGGAAAGAUUAUAACAUUCCCUAAAACUUUUAUUAUAAUGAGUGUCUCGGAAUUGGUUUCCAAACCGAUAAAACAAUGCAAACUGCUUUGUUGCAAAACUGAUAUGAUAGAAACAAUGGACAACUAAAAUUCAAAAUCCUAUAACUCCUGCUAUACUCAACUUAAAACUACAACGAUCACACGUUGGAAAAGUUUGGAAAUUGUCCACGACUUUUGCAAUAAACUUGCACCCAAAUUUAUCUUUAUAGCCCUCAAAUCUGCAUUACAGUUAAACUCAGCCUGAGAUACUGCACAUCGGAGAUUCAACUUAUAUCCAGACAACCACGUCACCCAAUCUAUUUAACAGACAAUUACAAGUAAAUACCCAUUAAAAGAUACUGAGAAAAACUAAAAGUUUUGGUUAAAGAGAAUUCCCAAAUUUGGGCUCUGAAACUAUCAAAACGCGGUCGAUUUAUUGGUGGUUUUAACGACACCUAAAGUUCAGACACAACGGUGCAACAACUUUAGAGUAGCCUAACUCCAAUUAUAUGCAAUGAAAAUUACAAACCAAUACUCUUUGGAAAGAUCAUGAAAUUACUAAAACUUUCAUAAUCCAGCAAAGACCAAAAUUUACCGUCUUCAAUGUCUAUACUUCCGUACAAAAUUAAAGCUGCUAUAGGAAACCCAUAACUCUCAAAUGUUUAGACCAAACUGGGUGAUUAAGCAUCCUAUGCAAAGAUGAAGAAACCUACUACAAAACAUUCUAGAUAAGUGAAGCCUGAUUCAGCCUCCAACUAAGUUAAGAUGACUCCCAAAACCAAACAACACCUUACCCAUAAAAAAACAAUAUAAAAUAAAACCCAAGGCAUUGGCAGGUGCAAUCAACACUAGGAUUUUCCACUACCAAAUGGGGAUGCAACUCCCCAAAGCCUUUAAACAACACUUUACCUAAUAGGUUAGAACACUAAGCACAACAAUCAACGGAUUCAACAACCUCGUUUGUUAAUGCCACUAAGGUCAAACAUCCAUGUAUCGACAAUGUAUGAAACAACUGGCAUACCUGUCUCUAGCACUAUAAAACAUGGUUGUUAUUACACUAGAAUCCCACUACUAGAGCUCUCCACAACUAUUCAGUUGACGUGAAGCAAAUGGUGCUCACAUCAUAUAACGUCUUUUUCUCCUCUCAAAAGAGAUAAAAUUUACAAUACUCAUAAAGCAAUGGAGGGAUAACAACAAGAAAACUAAUAUACUUCUUGACACAGACUCAUGCAAAAGCUUCAUAAAUAUUACUUUCAAUACUAAAAUAAUAACACGAUACUGUGCUCAACAGUAGUAAUUGGACUUCAAUAAGACAAUCCACAUAACCAAACUACCUUGAUUAACCUCACAUACAACAAAACCUACUAUUACUGCACUUGAACAAUUUGUACCUCGUGAUAUCACAGGAUGCAUUCAAAGUAGUAGACAUACAUGAUCAUCAAACCAUCAUUCAUAUAAAAAAAUCUCAAUCCGAUGCAACAACCCCAUCAUUAAAGAGAUAGAUGACUAACAAACAUAAGCAACUCCCAGUUAAGCAUUGACUUCGUUUAAGAUAAAGCGGUCUAAAUAAUGAUUCAACAAGCAUGCAUAGAGAAACUGAUCAUAAAAAAAAUCAAACUACCAUACAACGUUGGCAAAUAAAAAAAUAUAAAAUGGAUUGUCAAUAUCGUCCACAUGACUAGCCUGCAACAACUAAAAAUUAUGCAUAGCCUUUAUGGCUAUUGAAACAAGCCAUAGAAGGAAACAUGCACGACAUAAAAUCCACUUGAAACCACCCUAUUUAUUUUUAAAAAUAAGGUUGCACAUAAUAAGAAAACCCAUUAGGUAAACAUGGUUGGACUUAUCAAUCUACGUCAUCUUACAAAUUCACUUGAGUUCUACAGUCUCAAGAUUUUAUAGACAUUACAACGUUGCCUUUGCUCUAUAGAGACAAACCAAUUUUAUACUAAGAUCAAGUUAGCAAGUAGCCACACUAGUCAAAAAAAGGUGAGGCGCAAAGCAUUGCACCCACGGAAAUAUUACAUUGAUAAGUUGGGUUGUAACCCAACAGUCAAUCAAACUCAACAACACCAUAAAACUACAUUAUAUAGUGUUUUCACACUACACCAAGUCGGAUUAGACCCACUAUACACAAGCUCAAUAAACAAUCGGUCCUACAAGUACUAGAACCCAAGAAUCCUUUUGAAAAAAAAACAUCCACAGUCAAGCAUAUAGAAAUAUAUGAUAGUAAUAGCUCAGAGAUUUGAAAACAUUGCAUCCAAAAAAACAUCAUGACGAUAUGAAUAUAAAACAAGUACAUUAGUAGCUUCACUUGCAUAAUAACUUAAAUAACAACCACAUCAAGAAACCAAUAUUAAAUAGAAGUAACAUAUCAUAUCAAGCAUUACAUCGUUAACGACAUACCCCAUCAAACCAUAAAGGGAUUUGGAAUAAGAACAUUCUAGUCAUCUAUACAAUAAAAUACUAAUAUGAAAGAUAUACGAACCCAUACCCUUCCUAUAUGUGCAAGUGUGUCAAAUUUAUCUUCAAAUUGCGUAGAAUCUAAAGCCUAUCCUUUGAUACCAACUGUAACACCCCGAAGGGGUCCACAAACACCCCGGAAUGCUACUAAACAACACUUCUGCCAUCUAUAUAUAAAAUUUCGACAGCAUACCCUUUGCAAAAUUGCAUAAACGAGAGGGCAACAGUGUAUAAACAUAUAUCAUGACAAAAACAUACUAAGUACUAUUAAUCGGCUAGCAAAGAGAAGUUAAACAUACGACAUGAACUGAAUUAACUAGUGCGCACGACUAGUUAAAAAACAAACUUCCUUUGACAAUAAAUUUCUAAUUAAAUCAUGGCUGCACCUCGACAGCGCUAUUGUGAGAGUGAAAGUGGACGUGCUGCUACUCCCCUCAUUCCCAACAUGUAUCAAGUACCUGCAUUGAGUAAUGCAAGAGUGAGAUGACACAUCUCAGCAAGUAAAAUAAUAUCAAACUGUUUAACCACAUAAGAACAUUGUUUUACCACCACUUGAUUCCACAACCUUCUUAUUACGAAGGUGCAGCACGUAUACAACGUACAACACACCUAGUCACCACACCUCGCAGGUAGAAACCACAAUAGUAACAUAGUAAUGUCACACUUCAUAUAUAUACCUCAUGAGUGCAAAUGUCUGCAAAUGCAAGGAUGACUUCUGCCUUCAUACCUGUAAGGAUAUGAAGCCGCAUCGUACCCCUCCUCGGGCAACGUACGAUGCUAAAAAUGUACCGGUACGGUCGGACCAUAAGAUCACGACAUAACUUCAAAAUGCAAGAUGGAUGAUGCGAUGUGCAUGUCAUGCCUACAACACUUCAUAUAACGUGAUUCAAAAAGAUACUUCAACUUCAUCGAAGAUGGGAAUCAACCACAUAUAUCAUUAACAAAUUAUGAUCAUCCACAAUAUUAGACAAUUGAGAAUUAAUACUUCCAAACAAAUAAACUUCAUCAUAGAAUUCAAUGAUUAACAUAAUUAAAACUUAUGCAUACACAAUGACAGGGAAUAGGAUGCAAACCAAACGGUAGCAACCACCACUGUAUUUACUUGCCUUUACCGGAAGUUCGGGCAAAUCCCUAAGUACGAUCCGGAAGUCCACCACCUGUUUUUGACACACAACUUAGUGCACCAAUUUCACAUAAUCAGGCUCAUAAGCGACGCCGCACCUAUGCACAAACUCAAACCCCCCCGCGGGUUACAUCUCUCCCCACACCCACCAAACUGCAGCGGGGCUGCUUAAUAUUUUCAUAACUUUAAAAUUAUGACAGCAGUGGUAACAAACAAAAACUCCAGAGGCAUCUACAUAAAAUUCCCCACAAGUUUUGUACACAAUUUAUAAUUAAAUUCCAACAUCUAAUUAGCCCAAAACAGUCCACAAGAUGAACCCUGUAAUCUGUUUUUUUGUCUUUUGGACAGCGACAUACCCGGAUUCAAACAGCGAUAUCUUUUAAAAUAUAAUUCCAAAUCAAGCGCAUAAGUACUCAUUGGAAAGAUAAGACAAAGCCCUACAUUAUUAUCAUACUGGUUAACACUAAUUACCCACGAAAAUGCCCAGAAACUGCUAAUACUUCUUCUGUUCACCCACCUGAAAAUCUGUUUUUUUGGACAGCAACAUAACCGGAUUCAAACAACGAUAUCUCCUAAAUUAUAACUCCGAAUCGAGCGCAUAAGUACCCAUUGGAAAGGUAUGACAAAGCUCUACAUGAUUCACCCACUGAUCCCCACUAAUUACCCACGAAAAAUUCCCAGAAAUCCCUAGAACUACUGCUGUUCGCCCACCCACAAAAUUUCAGGACAGCACCUCUACCGAUUCGGAUAGGUAAACAUAUAAUCAAUUGGAUUACAACACAAUUAAACAAGAUACAAUCUCAAAAUCACCUUGAAUCCUCCCCCUUUCCUCCCUUCUUCUUCCCUCCACCAAAAUCCAAUUGGAGACAUGCACCAACGCG
RNAcentral lists this long non-coding RNA (8738 nucleotides) under Zea mays. Its description in RNAcentral is "long non-coding RNA (ZMAY_LNC004786)". Lineage: Eukaryota; Viridiplantae; Streptophyta; Magnoliopsida; Poales; Poaceae. The record is from RNAcentral.